AUUGAACGCUGGCGGCAGGCCUAACACAUGCCAGUCGAGCGAGCGGCGGACGGGUGAGUAAUGUAUGGGGACUGCCCGAUAGAGGGGGAUAACUACUGGAAACGGUGGCUAAUACCGCAUACUGUAGGAUAACCCAUAUGGUGUUAGCUAGUAGGUAAGGUAAUGGCUUACCUAGGCGACGAUCCCUAGCUGGUCUGAGAGGAUGAUCAGCCACACUGGGACUGGGACACGGCCCAGACUCCUACGGAGGCAGCAGUGGGGAAUAUUGCACAAUGGGCGAAAGCCUGAUGCAGCCAUGCCGCGUGUAUGAAGAAGGCCCUAGGGUUGUAAAGUACUUUCAGUCGGGAGGCGUUACCGACAGAAGAAGCACCGGCUAACUCCGUGCCAGCAGCCGCGGUAAUUC
This 403-nucleotide ribosomal RNA is filed under the name uncultured bacterium. RNAcentral describes it as "partial 16S ribosomal RNA". It matches the Rfam family "Bacterial small subunit ribosomal RNA", at positions 30 to 526 of the family's 1533-position model. The record is from RNAcentral.